UUUUUUUUUUUUUUUGAGAUGGCUUCUCGCUCUGUCGCCCAGGCUGGAGUGCACUAGCACAAACUUGCCUCACUGCAAACUCCACCUCCCAGGUUCACGCCAUUCUCCUGCCUCAGCCUCCUGAGUAGCUGGGACUACAGGCACCAGCCACCACGCCUGGCUAAUUUUUUGUAUUUUUAGUAGAGACGGGGUUUCACCAUGUUAGCCAGGAUGGUCUCAAUCUCCUGACCUCGUGAUCUGCCCACCCUCGACCUCCCAAAGUGCUGGGAUUACAGGCAUGAGCCACCACGCCUGGCCGAUUGCAGCACAUUUCAAAAGUUAUAGCUAAGCCAGUGACUUUUCUUGUCAAGUUGCAGAUUUGUAAAUAAAUGAGUCGUUUGCCUCUGUCAGUGUCAACAUUAGCUGACAUAAUUAGUGAAUCCAGUUUCAGGUACUUAUGAAAAGUGGUGUUAUCAAGCAAAAAGGGAUUGCUGCCUGAUGCACUAGAAGUCAAUGCAAUGACUCUGGGUUUUUGACAAAAGAGAAAGCUUUAUAUUGCAACAGGGGUCAAGCUCAAACCUGUCUCCCUGAGAUGGCUUUAAGGCAGGGCGUAAUUUUAUUAGAAAAGGUUUAGGGGUGAAUUUUGGGAUUGUAGGUGAUUGGUGAAAGGAAAGGGGAGGCCUAGAAAGUCCUCUGGCUUGCACAGUUUUCUCUUCAUGCUGCCUCAUGGGUCCCAUGAGAAAAUUUCAGGGGAUUAAUAUGAAACACAUGGUAGAAAUUCAGGCCGUGACUUCAGCAAGCUCACUGUGUGCAAACUCCAGUUGGCCAUGGUGCUUCCAACUGAUUUCUGCUAGUUUUACUCACAAGCAGAGGGAGUUUCAGCAUUUGAGCAAGUUGUUUCUUACCUUGCAAACUCAAGAAUUUCUGUUAGUUACUGGCUUGUUUAAUUCUUUAGGGCACAAUUUCAGUGAUAAUAAACUGUGGGAGGUUGACUACACCCCCCUAUUCCCUACACCUUUCUCCUUUGUCCACAUCCACAGAGAAAAGAAAUUGAGAAAACGAAACACUCACUUUCCUACUAAGAGCAGGAGGAGGCAGCCAAAUGCCUAAGCAGAUGGGGUGGGUCCCCGGUGAAACCCCACCCCCAAGCUGAAGAGAGUUUAAAGCCUGAAAGCCAAGCUACAAGUUAAAUCCUUGAAUGGGAUUGAGAACUUGUCUUCCUGUUUGGUGUGCUUUCCUCUGAUUGAUCCCCACCCUUCACCUAUUUUACAUAUACCUGUCCUUUCCUAACUGAUUUUCUGCACUGUCAUGCCCACCUUUGAGUAGUGUCUUUGCUUUAACCUUUUUUGCACACUCAUAAACCAAUCGACACAUACUCCCCAUUCUGAGUCCAUAAAAAGCCCCAGACCCAAUGACAUGGGGGACUUUACCACCUUCUGGUAGACAGACCACCCCUGCAUCCCCUCUGCCCUGAAAGCUGUUUUUUGGUCAAAAAAAUUCUUCUCCACCACCCUCACCCUUCAGUGCUCAGCACAUCCUCAUUCACUUUGGGUGUGGGACAAGAACUCAGGAACUGGUAUACAAGCCAGACCUGGCCCAGGGGGACCAACUGGGCAAGGCUCCUCCAGUAGCAGGUAGUGUGCCCCAAGUAAGGCCUCCAGCAUCACCAGCCAGAGGUCCCCGACUGGCAACGGAACCAAGAAAAAUCCUGCAUCACUACUCUCCUCUGUAACCAUCAGUGGUCAAGUAAGAUAGUUCUGACCAAUGAGACAUAAGCAGAAAUCUGUUGAGGGCUUUUAGGAGAGCUUUUCCUGUCCUUUUAUCAGCAGAGUCAGUGGCUCAGACACUAACUCUUCUUCCUCCUUCAAAUGUUGAUGUAAUGUCUGGAGACAAAACAGCCAUUUUGCAACCAUGAGGCAAUAAGUGUAAGGACCAAAAGCCAACAAGCAAAAAAUGAUAGGAAACACCUGGGUUUU
Macaca fascicularis (crab-eating macaque) is the source of this 1955-nucleotide long non-coding RNA. The record is from Ensembl. NCBI's taxonomy places the organism in Eukaryota, Metazoa, Chordata, Mammalia, Primates, Cercopithecidae.